UACGAAGGGGGCUAGCGUUGUUCGGAUUUACUGGGCGUAAAGGGCGCGUAGGCGGGCCGAUAAGUCAGGGGUGAAAUCCCAAGGCUCAACCUUGGAACUGCCUUUGAUACUGUUGGUCUUGAGUCCGGGAGAGGUGAGUGGAACUGCGAGUGUAGAGGUGAAAUUCGUAGAUAUUCGCAAGAACACCGGUGGCGAAGGCGGCUCACUGGUCCGGAACUGACGCUGAGGCACGACAGCGUGGGGAGCAAACAGG
RNAcentral lists this ribosomal RNA (253 nucleotides) under uncultured bacterium. Its description in RNAcentral is "partial 16S ribosomal RNA". It matches the Rfam family "Bacterial small subunit ribosomal RNA", at positions 524 to 776 of the family's 1533-position model. The record is from RNAcentral.